This 1061-nucleotide long non-coding RNA is filed under the name Parus major (Great Tit). RNAcentral describes it as "lncRNA (ENSPMJG00000000443.1)". Lineage: Eukaryota; Metazoa; Chordata; Aves; Passeriformes; Paridae. The record is from RNAcentral.
AUGGAGACAGAGGAGGUGAGCAGAGCAGUUCCCCGCUGGGGAGCACAUCCACCUGUCAGGGCUGAGCUUGGUGUCCUUCCUCUCGGUUCCCGUCUACCCGGCGAAGCAGCCACGCUGACGUGGUGUGGUGGGCACGCAGCCCAGGCUUUGAUCACAGAUCUGCACGUCAGAGCAGGCUGCAAACCUGGCUCAGCUCCCUCAGGUGCACACAAAGGCAAACCUUCCCUUCCCUGAUGAAAGAGUGAGAACACCCACUGCAUGUCUAAAGCAAGAAAAUGCAAGAGAAGCUCCACAAAUGGUUUUGCUCUGUUUUUGAGAUGGAAUCUGAAGACGAGAUUCCUGAAUGAAGUCUGAGUUUUAUGGAAAUGCAUUACACUUGUGGACUUUAAAGAGAAAUCUAGUGUUGCUGUGCUCUGCCAUUUGUAGCUUUUUGGUAUUCUUUACAUAGACCUUUUCUCUUUUUAUACUUAGAUGAGGUUGUGCUUUCUUUCCCAUCCCAGGGGAUUGCCAGUGAGGUUUGAAUAGAGUAAUUUAUUUUCCUAAAUUCAGAAAGUGUUACCAUUUCUUUGGCUGAGUCACCUAAGCAUGAUCAGACACAAUUUUCAAAGGUGGCUGGGGAUUUGAGUAUUCAGUUAAACCAAGAGAAAUUGAAUCUCCCAAUCCUCUGAGGUGCUUUGGGAAAAUCUCUUGCUAAAUGUAGCAGCUUAAUGAUGAUCUAAAGAUACAUAAAGACAUUUUCAUCUCUUUUACUGAAAAAUCAAGGGCUACCUCCACACAGUGGAAACACUGACAGGCAUUACAGAACAUCACAAAUUCCAUAGAGGCAAAUCUUACUCCAUUCUUCUGGACUGCAGCUCAGGUAGUAGCCCUGUUUGUUUCCUGAAGCAUGGUUAUAUUACAGGGCUAGGGCAGUGUAUCUGCUGUGUUUUGGGGCUGCCUUUCCACAGGAAUCAUAGAAUGGCACAUCAGAGGUUUGCAGCAUGUUUUAGGAUACAGGAAGUGUUCAUCUGGGUCAGGUGGUUUGAUUCAAGUUCUCAUCUCCAUAUUUCCAUUCCUAUUCA